GCUGCCUGACUUUACAGAUUCAAGAACAAGGGAAAAGACAGUACAGAAAUGAGGUGUUGCAGAAUAGAAGUCAAUCUGGAGCUGAGGAAAGCUAAGGAUGACCAGAUGCUGAAGAGGAGAAAUGUAAGCUCAUUUCCUGAUGAUGCUACUUCUCUGCUGCAGAAAAACCACAACAACCAGGGCGCUGUAAAUUGGUCUGUUGAUGACAUUGUCAAAGGCAUAAAUAGCAACAAUGUGGAAAGUCAGCUCCAAGCGACUCAAGCUGCCAGGAAACUACUUUCUAGAGGAAAACAGGCCCCCCCUGCCCAACCCCCGCUGCAAAGACAACUUAAUCUGGGCUGGUUUGAUUCCAAAAUGUGUGUCUUUCUUGGGCAGAACUGAUAGUAGUCCCAUUCAGUUUGAAUCUGCCUGGGUGCUCACUGACAUUGCUUCUGGGAAUCAGAACAAGCCAAGGUUGUGGUAGUUGGAGGUGCCAUCCUAGCAUUCAUUUCUCUGUUGGCAUCUCCCCAUGCUCACAUCAGUGGACAAGUUGUAUCGGCUCCAGGAAACAUUGCAUGUGAUAGCUCAGUUUUCCAAGACUUGGUUACUAAGUACGGUGCAGUUGACCUACCGUUGGCUCUUCUUGCAGUUCCUGAUAUGUCAUCUUUAGCAUGUGGUAACUUACGUAAUCUUACCUGGACACUUUCAAAUCUUUGCUGCAACAAGAAUCCUGCACCUGUGUUAGAUGCUGUUGAGGAAAUUCUUCCUACCUGAGUUCGACUCCUGCAUCUUGAUGAUCCAGAAGUAUUAGCAGAUACCUACUGGACUAUUUCCUACCUGACUGAUGGUCCAAAUGAAUGAAUUGACAUCGUCAUGGAAACAGGAGUUGUGCCCUAACUUGUGAAGCUUCUAGGAGCUUCUGAAUUGCCAAUUGUGACUCCUGCACUAAGAGCCAUAGGGAAUAUUGUCAGUGGAACAGAUGAACACACUCAGGUUGUGAUCGAUGCGGGAGCACUUGCUGUCUUUCCCAGCCUGCUCACCAACCCCAAAACUAACACUGGGAAGGAAGCUACGUGGACAACGUCAAACAUCACAGCUGGCCGUCAGGACCGUAUACAGCAAGUUGUGAAUCAUGGAUCAGUCCUAUUCCUUGCCAGUGUUCUACGUCAGAUCUUAGGACACAAAAGGAAGCUGUAUGAGCUGUGACCAACUAUAUCAGUGGCGAAACAGUUGAACAGAUUGUGUACCUCAUUCAUCGUGGCAUGCUGAUGAAACUCUCAACUGCGAAACAUACCAAGGUUAUUCUGCUUAUCCUGGAUGCCAUUUCAAAUAUCUUUUAGGCUGCUGAGAAACGAGGUGAAACUGAGAAACUUAGUAUGACGAUUGAAGAAUGUGGAGGCUUAGACAAAAUUGAAGCUCUACGAAACCAUGAAAAUGAGUGUGUAUAA
Molecule: RNA transcript, 1427 nt
Organism: Mandrillus leucophaeus (drill)
Lineage: Eukaryota; Metazoa; Chordata; Mammalia; Primates; Cercopithecidae
Gene name: importin subunit alpha-1 pseudogene
Exons: 1
Source: RefSeq, a predicted model, not a curated record